GCGCGGGUGGCGGAAUUGGCAGACGCGCAGCGUUGAGGUCGCUGUGCCCGCAAGGGCGUGGGGGUUCAAGUCCCCCUCCGCGCAC
RNAcentral lists this transfer RNA (85 nucleotides) under Citricoccus alkalitolerans. Its description in RNAcentral is "tRNA-Leu". It matches the Rfam family "tRNA". Rfam says of the family: Transfer RNA (tRNA) molecules are approximately 80 nucleotides in length. Their secondary structure includes four short double-helical elements and three loops (D, anti-codon, and T loops). RNAcentral also lists the same sequence under 2 other names. Lineage: Bacteria; Bacillati; Actinomycetota; Actinomycetes; Micrococcales; Micrococcaceae. The record is from RNAcentral.